GUGGCUGGUGGCUCAGUGGUAGAGCACUUGCCUAGCAUGUGUGAGGCCCUGGGUUCAAUCCUCAGCACCACA
RNAcentral lists this transfer RNA (72 nucleotides) under Marmota monax (woodchuck). Its description in RNAcentral is "tRNA.Ala". The stretch from base 7 to 70 matches the Rfam family "tRNA". From Rfam's summary of the family: Transfer RNA (tRNA) molecules are approximately 80 nucleotides in length. Their secondary structure includes four short double-helical elements and three loops (D, anti-codon, and T loops). Further hydrogen bonds mediate the characteristic L-shaped molecular structure. tRNAs have two regions of fundamental functional importance: the anti-codon, which is responsible for specific mRNA codon recognition, and the 3' end, to which the tRNAs corresponding amino acid is attached (by aminoacyl-tRNA synthetases). tRNAs cope with the degeneracy of the genetic code in two manners: having more than one tRNA (with a specific anti-codon) for a particular amino acid; and 'wobble' base-pairing, i.e. permitting non-standard base-pairing at the 3rd anti-codon position. Lineage: Eukaryota; Metazoa; Chordata; Mammalia; Rodentia; Sciuridae. The record is from RNAcentral.